RNAcentral lists this small nuclear RNA (108 nucleotides) under Erinaceus europaeus (western European hedgehog). Lineage: Eukaryota; Metazoa; Chordata; Mammalia; Eulipotyphla; Erinaceidae. The record is from RNAcentral.
GUGCUUGCUUAAGCAGCACAUAUACUAAAAUUGGAACGAUACAUAAGAUUAUUAGCAUGGCCCCUUUGUAAGGAUGACAUGCAAAUUCGUGAAGCAUUCCAUUCACAA